Molecule: ribosomal RNA, 423 nt
Filed under: uncultured bacterium
Lineage: Bacteria
Description: bacterial SSU rRNA
Rfam family: Bacterial small subunit ribosomal RNA
Source: RNAcentral
GUGAGGAAUAUUGGUCAAUGGGGGCAACCCUGAACCAGCCAAGUCGCGUGAAGGAUGAAGGUCUUAUGGAUUGUAAACUUCUUUUACACGGGAAUAAAGUGGGGGACGUGUCCCCCUUUGCAUGUACCGUGUGAAUAAGGAUCGGCUAACUCCGUGCCAGCAGCCGCGGUAAUACGGAGGAUCCGCGCGUUAUCCGGAUUUAUUGGGUUUAAAGGGUGCGCAGGCGGGAUGUUAAGUCGGCGGUGAAAUUUUGCAGCUCAACUGUAAAAGUGCCUUCGAUACUGGCCUCCUUGAGUGUGGAUGAAGUGGGCGGAAUUUGUGGUGUAGCGGUUAAAUGCUCAGAUAUCACGAGGAACUCCGAUUGCGCAGGCAGCUUACUAAGCCACAACUGACGCUCAUGCACGAAGGCGUGGGGAUCAAACA